GGACAGGUGGCGGAAUUGGCAUACGCGCACCGUUCAGGGCGGUGUGGCUGUUGAAGCCGUGCGGGUUCAAGUCCCGCCCUGUCCA
RNAcentral lists this transfer RNA (85 nucleotides) under Elusimicrobia bacterium RIFCSPHIGHO2_02_FULL_39_36. Its description in RNAcentral is "tRNA-Leu". It matches the Rfam family "tRNA". From Rfam's summary of the family: Transfer RNA (tRNA) molecules are approximately 80 nucleotides in length. The record is from RNAcentral. Lineage: Bacteria; Pseudomonadati; Elusimicrobiota. RNAcentral also lists the same sequence under 3 other names.